CCGCCUUCUAUUAUACUUCUAUAGCUUUUCCAGGUUAAAAAAGUUUGAUUCAUUAAUCCAUAAUGCUCAAGGCUUCUUAAAAAAAUUUAUAGUUGGAGUUUCAGCUAAUAAGGAGUCUGUUGCAACUAGAAUUAAUGUUAAAACUAGUGAACAUUUCCCACCACCUCCCAGCAAUUUUUGUUUUUUCCGCCAUGGCUCCAAUUUUAAAUCAUCUCUCUCUCAUUGUCCCUGUAGUGCAUCUGAAUUUGUAAAAUCCCGUAUUCCCCCUUCUUGUUUGGGAAAAUGCUAUAUAGUUACUAAAGCUGAGAGCUCUUGCCUGCAAAUAACAGAAACCCCAAGUCAAACAGAUUUUUUUUUUUUUUUGUCUUUUUAGGGCUGCACCGAUGGCAUAUGAAGGUCCCCAGGCUAAGGGUCUAAUCGGAAACUGCAGCUGCUGGCCUAUGCCACAGCCACAGCAACGUUGGAUCCAAACUGCAUCUGCAAACUGCACCACAGUUCACAGCAGUGUGGGAUCCUUAACCUACUGAGCAAGGCCAAGGAUCAAACCUGCAUCCUCAUGGAUGGUAGUUGAUUCGUUUCUGCUGAGCCAUGACAGAAACUCCCAAAUAGAUUUUAACAUGAAGAAAAAGUAAUGGCUCAUGCAAUUGAAACAUUCGGAUGUAGGUUUCAGGUAGGGUUUGAUCUUGCUUCAUUUCUUUGAGACUAUCUUGGCUCUGAAGUCUUCAGAAAUCUCAAUCAUCAUGCUAGAUUUUCCUCAUGAGAACUGUGGUAGAUGCUAAUCGAUUCUGGGAGAAUAUUCAGCUCAAUCCAUGAUAGCCCAGCUAUGGCUACUUUUCCAAGACUCCUUGCAGCUGGGUGUGAACACAUGACCAGAUAUGGACAAUAGGAUGUGAGCAUCUUGAACUGUGCCUUAACCACAAUGUGGGAAAGAAACACUCAUAUUUUGUUUAAACCACUAUUGUUUAGAGCAGACAUCUAGGACCCCUGGGGUCCCUGAGACCAUUUUAUUGGAUCCCUGGCAUUUGUGAUAACACUGUUGUAGGCUGAAUAAUGAUCCCCUAGACAUGUCAACAUUCUAAUUCCUAGAACUGGAAUUCCCUGGAUGCUCAGUGGGUUCAAAAUCCAGCAUGAUUACUACUGUGGUGCUGGUUUGAUCCCUGGCUCAGGAACUUCCACAUGCUGCAGGUGUGGCAAAAAAAGAAAAGGACUUUUCAAAUGUGAUUAGGUUAAGGAAUUGAGAUGAGAAGAUUACUUUGGAUUAUCCAGGUGAGACUGAUAUAAUCACUGAGGAAACAAGAGAGCAGCGUUCGGUCCCUCCGAGGAGAAGCUGUGAGGACACAACCUUUCUGGCUUUGAAGAUGGGAGGAGGGAGUUACAAGCCCCCAUGCCAAGGAAUGUGGACAACCUCUAGCGGCUGGCAAGGCAAGGAAAUGGGUCCCCUCUAGAGCCUCAAGAAGGAGCCAUCUCUGAUGACACCAGGUCUUUAGCCCAGUGAAACUGAUGUUGGACUUCCGACCUCAGACAUAAGGUACAGUUUGUACUGUUUUAAGUAGCUAAGUUUAUGUUGAUUUGCUACAAAAACAACUGGAAACCAAUACAAAUACAUUAUCAUUGUUUGCUUUUAUCCCAAGCAUACAGUGGAGUUUUCUGGAGAUCAGAUGAUGUGUUAUCAGGGCAGAUCGAAUACAUCAGCCAACAGAAUCCAGCUGUCUUUUAUGAAGCUGAAUACUAAAGAGGUUCCCAAAAUAUGAAAACAAUGCCACUCUUCUUACUAAUUUUUUUGUUUUGUUUUGGAAAAUUUAGGGUUUUUUUUUUUCCUUCUUUUUUUUAGGACCACACGUGUGGCAUAUGGAAGUUCCAGGGCUAGGGAGUCAAACCAGCUGCAGCUGCUGGCCUGCACCAUAGCCAUGGCAACACAGGAUCCUUAACCCACUGAGUGAGGCCAGAGAUCAAACCCACAUCCUCAUAGAUCCUAGUUAGGUUCGUUACUGCUGAGCCGCCAUGUGAACUCCCAGAAAAUUUGGGCUUUUUUUUUUUUUUUUGUUAAAGCUAUGUUCUUUAUAUCAAUCUGGACAAAGUCUUUUUAUUGCCAUUUGAAAUGAGUUAAUAGUUUUCAGAUUCUCAGUUUUAAUUUCUGAUAUAGUAUAUAUUGAUAAUUAUAACCCACAUAAAUAAAAGCUCUUUGUGGCCCUCCAUCAUUUUUUAUAAGAGUGCAAAAUGGUCCUUAAGCCAUGAAAUUUUGAGAACCACCAAGGCAUCCUAAGAAAUCUAGUAUCAAAAUUGGCUGCUGCCAUUUUAAGUCGCAAGCUUAGUCCCCAUACUAUACAAAGGAAAGAGAGAGCUUUUCCCCAAAAACAUUACAUAGAAGCCCCAGCUUUUAUUCUGAUUGAACCACUUUAGGAUCUUUGCCUCCUCUUGGACCAAUCAUGCUGACAAGGGGCCGGAUUACCCUGCAGUAAUCAAAACCCAGGCCUGGAGCUGAACCUGGGCUCAGUCUCCCUUAACUUGAGUGGUUGCUACCCAGUGGGAGAAAGGACAAGCGGAUGCUGGGAAGUCAGCCAACAUCAUCCAUCAUGGUUCCCAUAGAGAAUAAUCAUGAUGAUGACAGCAAACAUGCAGCACAUCCUGCCAGGCUCAGCUCUAAGCCCUCAAUUCUCACAGCCACUCAGUGAGGAAGGUACUAUUAUUAUCACUUACUAUAACAUGUGAUAAACCCUCUGCCCCCACUUCAGCCCAGAAACACGCUUGAAGAGUAUGAACGUGUUUCGCUUUGUUGAGAUUUUGACUGAAGCUUUACCAUGAGCAUAUUCCAGCAAUAAAGUGUAAUGGUUUAGAAGACAGGCUAUGGGGUUGGACAAAUUUACUUACACUAAGCUCAGAUUUUGACUGAUAAAGAGAAUUUUUUUAACUUAUAACCUAUAUGAUAGCCUUGAUAAUAUCUCAUGCUAUUUGUUAGUGGGGGAAAUUCUAUUUUAGUCUAAUUAAAUAGUCUCUUUAGGUUACAUGUUCUGUGAGAUUUCUGGGCCCUUCCCCCAGGUAGUGCUAUGUGUUUUGGGGGACUGGGUGUGGAGGAGUGUGAUGGGGUGUCUGUGGUGGGGAAUGGUGAGAUCCUCAGAGCCACAGCCUGGACUGACCAUUGCCAGUGGUGACUGGGCCAGCCUCCGGAAAUUCCUCCAGGGUCUGCAGCUGAGGUUGGGCAGAGGUCUCUCUCUGCUUGGGUAGGGGUCCUUUCCACACCAGCACCUCAACUCUACCUUGGUCUUCUCUGGGUCUGAGGAUUCUUUGGGUACCAACAUUUGUGGCAAAUUCCUCAAUCAAGUCUCUAAACUCUUGUCCAUAAGAUACACCCCUCUCCUCCAGAUCAGAUAUCUCCCAUGAGAACUGAUGAGGCCAUCUCUCUGCCCCACCAGGCUGCCUUCUGAAUUGACCUCAACAUGGUGGCCUCCGUGUUGGUGCAGGGCCCUUCAUGGGCCGUUCCUGUCCAGAGUCCUCAGCAGAGAGCAGGGCAGAAACCCCUCAAGUUUAGACUUUGUUUUCACCUUCUCUACCCCUACUCCUCUCAAGGGCAUGGGCCCAGAGAGGGAAGACUGGGACACAGCUCUCUCCCUGCCUCUCUCACUCUGCCCUUCUCUCCACAGGCCAGUGAGAGGAGAGAGAUGCUUCUGUUUUAUGACACAUUUCUUCUGUAAAAGUCUAUGAUCAGGUCUUCCAGAUAUGGUUCUUGAUAAAGGAAGAGAGAAGAGAAUUUAGAAAAGUCCUUUUCGCUGUUGAAGAAGCCUGAUUUUCAAGCCUAUUGUCUUGCUAAGGAAUUGAAAGUCUGAUUUUGGAUGUUAGAAGCUGAAUAUUAACUCUUAUCUGUCCCUCUCUUAGGCUUUCCAGUUAUAACCAUCCAAAACUUACAUUCUCACCUGUUACAUUCCUGUCCCAGGAUUCCUUAGGUGCUCCAGGGGGAAGGUUGAAUACAUCAGAGAGAAAAGUAUACAACAUGAAAAUAGGUAUGUGGGGAAAAAAAGGGCACACUCAUUCACUUAAUAAGGUUCCCCCGUGACACGGACACAACUAGCUUAGAAUCCUGGCUCUGUUACCUAUAAGUUUUCUACCCAUGAGUAGGUUAGUCUCUCUAAGUUUUGGCUUCUUUAUUUAUUGUGCAGAGAAAAACAAUAGGUAUCUGGCUUACAGAUUUCUUCUGAGGGCAAAAUGAGGUGAUUUGCAUAAAGCACUUAGUAGAGUGCCUGCCACAUACGACAUGUUCAUAAUUGUCAUUAUACUAUUACUGCAUAUGUUUAGCACAUGCCUGUCAAUCCCAUUUGAAUACUCCCCCAAUAGACCCUUGCCCUGUGAACAUACAUGUUGAUGAUUCUCUAUAUAUUGUUCUUGAAUUUGCCAUUUAGUCUCUGCUCGGGCUUAUGUUGAACUAAACGGUUACUGUGGAAAAACAUUACUCAGUGACUUGUUAAGGCACUUUGCCAAGCACAUUGCUUCCUAACAGCUCCUUCCAGGUCUUACAGACUGCAAAAUAAGAUCUCUGCAUCUUCAGGGACAUCUUUAUCAGCUGGAGGUGGUCCUUCUUUUCUUUAAGCUGCGGAGAAGCUAGAUUGGAAAGAAAAGAAGGAAGGAGGAGUUCCCUUGUGGCAUAGCAGGUUAAGGACCCAGUGUAAUCACUGCAGUGGUUCAAGUCACUGCUAUGGCAUGGGUUCAGUACCUGCCCCAGG
RNAcentral lists this long non-coding RNA (4712 nucleotides) under Sus scrofa (pig). RNAcentral describes it as "lncRNA (ENSSSCG00035022129.1)". Lineage: Eukaryota; Metazoa; Chordata; Mammalia; Artiodactyla; Suidae. The record is from RNAcentral.